CCUACGGGAGGCAGCAGUGAGGAAUAUUGGUCAAUGGACGAGAGUCUGAACCAGCCAAGUAGCGUGAAGGAUGACUGCCCUAUGGGUUGUAAACUUCUUUUAUAUGGGAAUAAAACGUUCCACGUGUGGGAUUUUGUAUGUACCAUAUGAAUAAGGAUCGGCUAACUCCGUGCCAGCAGCCGCGGUAAUACGGAGGAUCCGAGCGUUAUCCGGAUUUAUUGGGGUUAAAGGGAGCGUAGGUGGAUUGUUAAGUCAGUUGUGAAAGUUUGCGGCUCAACCGUAAAAUUGCAGUUGAAACUGGCAGUCUUGAGUAAAGUAGAGGUGGGCGGAAUUCGUGGUGUAGCGGUGAAAUGCUUAGAUAUCACGAAGAACUCCGAUUGCGAAGGCAGUUCACUGGACUGCAACUGACACUGAGGCUCGAAAGUGUGGGUAUCAAACAGGAUUAGAUACCCCAGUAGUC
This 460-nucleotide ribosomal RNA is filed under the name uncultured bacterium. RNAcentral describes it as "partial 16S ribosomal RNA". It matches the Rfam family "Bacterial small subunit ribosomal RNA", at positions 338 to 795 of the family's 1533-position model. The record is from RNAcentral.